This 74-nucleotide transfer RNA is filed under the name Nitrososphaerota archaeon. Its description in RNAcentral is "Thaumarchaeota archaeon tRNA-Thr". It matches the Rfam family "tRNA". Rfam says of the family: Transfer RNA (tRNA) molecules are approximately 80 nucleotides in length. Their secondary structure includes four short double-helical elements and three loops (D, anti-codon, and T loops). Further hydrogen bonds mediate the characteristic L-shaped molecular structure. tRNAs have two regions of fundamental functional importance: the anti-codon, which is responsible for specific mRNA codon recognition, and the 3' end, to which the tRNAs corresponding amino acid is attached (by aminoacyl-tRNA synthetases). tRNAs cope with the degeneracy of the genetic code in two manners: having more than one tRNA (with a specific anti-codon) for a particular amino acid; and 'wobble' base-pairing, i.e. permitting non-standard base-pairing at the 3rd anti-codon position. The record is from RNAcentral. Lineage: Archaea; Thermoproteati; Nitrososphaerota.
GCCGGCGUAGCUCAGCCUGGUAGAGCACGUGCCUCGUAAGCACGGGGUCGCGAGAUCGACGCUCGCCGCCGGCU